UCGAAAUCGGUGACGCUACGGACUUAAAUAAUUUGAGCGAAAAUCCGUUGGCUUUAUUGACCGUGAGGGUUCAAGUCCC
Molecule: transfer RNA, 79 nt
Filed under: Ulota rufula
Lineage: Eukaryota; Viridiplantae; Streptophyta; Bryopsida; Orthotrichales; Orthotrichaceae
Description: partial tRNA-Leu
Source: RNAcentral